CUGGCGGCAGGCCUAACACAUGCAAGUCGAGCGGUAGAGAGAAGCUUGCUUCUCUUGAGAGCGGCGGACGGGUGAGUAAUGCCUAGGAAUCUGCCUGGUAGUGGGGGAUAACGUUCGGAAACGGACGCUAAUACCGCAUACGUCCUACGGGAGAAAGCAGGGGACCUUCGGGCCUUGCGCUAUCAGAUGAGCCUAGGUCGGAUUAGCUAGUUGGUGAGGUAAUGGCUCACCAAGGCGACGAUCCGUAACUGGUCUGAGAGGAUGAUCAGUCACACUGGAACUGAGACACGGUCCAGACUCCUACGGGAGGCAGCAGUGGGGAAUAUUGGACAAUGGGCGAAAGCCUGAUCCAGCCAUGCCGCGUGUGUGAAGAAGGUCUUCGGAUUGUAAAGCACUUUAAGUUGGGAGGAAGGGUUGUAGAUUAAUACUCUGCAAUUUUGACGUUACCGACAGAAUAAGCACCGGCUAACUCUGUGCCAGCAGCCGCGGUAAUACAGAGGGUGCAAGCGUUAAUCGGAAUUACUGGGCGUAAAGCGCGCGUAGGUGGUUUGUUAAGUUGGAUGUGAAAUCCCCGGGCUCAACCUGGGAACUGCAUUCAAAACUGACUGACUAGAGUAUGGUAGAGGGUGGUGGAAUUUCCUGUGUAGCGGUGAAAUGCGUAGAUAUAGGAAGGAACACCAGUGGCGAAGGCGACCACCUGGACUAAUACUGACACUGAGGUGCGAAAGCG
Molecule: ribosomal RNA, 730 nt
Filed under: uncultured bacterium
Lineage: Bacteria
Description: bacterial SSU rRNA
Rfam family: Bacterial small subunit ribosomal RNA
Source: RNAcentral